CAGCACUGGAUCCGCAUGCCCGGAUGCGCCGGUGACGAGGCCAGGCGGCCGCUUGGUCCGAGAACUGGGCGGUGAACCCUGCAGCCGCCGGUCAGGACGAGCGCAGAGGCGACCAACGCGGGAACUUCUCUGCUUCCUCGACCUCCAAGGAAGAACUACGUGAGCGCUAAUGCAGCGCUGGAUCCGCAUGCCCGGAUGCGCCGGCGACGAUGCCAGGAGGCCGCUAGGUCCGGGAACUGGGCGGUGCACCCUGCAGCCGCCGAUCGGGACGAGCGCGGAGGCGACCAACGCGGGCACUUCUCUGCUUCCUCGACCUCCAAGGAAGAACUAUGUGAGCGCUAGAUGUGUUUUAUCUCAACGGAACAGUUAUGUUUAUACAUGUAUCAGUAGGUUCAGGUUUUUAGUGUCUGGAUUGUGUUCUAGUCGACAACUGAUGCUAGUCAAAUUAUGCGUGUCAC
RNAcentral lists this long non-coding RNA (458 nucleotides) under Hordeum vulgare. RNAcentral's name for it is "long non-coding RNA (HVUL_LNC009549)". The record is from RNAcentral. Lineage: Eukaryota; Viridiplantae; Streptophyta; Magnoliopsida; Poales; Poaceae.